Long non-coding RNA from Acipenser ruthenus (sterlet), 510 nucleotides. RefSeq lists it as uncharacterized. The record is from RefSeq and is a predicted model, not a curated record. Lineage: Eukaryota; Metazoa; Chordata; Actinopteri; Acipenseriformes; Acipenseridae. The transcript has 3 exons.
UGAGGACAGUAUUUGUAUUACUUUGAGAGACGAUUUCUGUUUUCUAUAAAAGGAGAGCUGGCAUCCAAUCUGUCCUGGAAAGAAGAGGAGAGCUACGGCUGUGGAAUGCUGUUGGCAGGCAGCAGAAACAGAAGCAGUGAGGAAAGUCCCGCCUACCGAGGGGUUAAAACUGUCAUUCCACGGAAGCCAUGUGUCUUUUUGCGUCGAAGCUGUGACGGCUACUGAUGCGACCUCGCUGGUUGGUGAUCAUCUUCUCUUUCAGGGAACCAGGGUUAUGACGGCUAACACGUUCCGGAGCUGUCACCAAGGACCAGCACAAACCCGGAACAGCACUUCACUUGUAUCAUGAAGAAACUGUAUUUGCACCACGAGCACUAAUUCAGGCACUAAACUGACUUGUGUAUGUGUUUUGUGUUUUGUGUGGGUGUAUAAUAAAUGGUAUUGACUAUUAUUUCUGGACAAACCCGGGGAUUACAAAUUACUUAACAUCAUUUAUUGUUUACUGUUUGU